This 708-nucleotide ribosomal RNA is filed under the name uncultured bacterium. RNAcentral describes it as "bacterial SSU rRNA". It matches the Rfam family "Bacterial small subunit ribosomal RNA", at positions 28 to 749 of the family's 1533-position model. The record is from RNAcentral.
AGUGAACGCUGGCGGCGUGCUUAACACAUGCAAGUCGAACGAGAACGGCUCUAGCUUGCUAGAGUGUCAGCUAAGUGGCGGACGGGUGAGUAAUGUAUAGCUAACGUGCCCCUUGGAGAGGGAUAACAGUUGGAAACGACUGCUAAUACCUCAUACUCCUUCUGUAUUAAUUACAGUUGGGAAAUGUUAUUUCGCCAAGGGAUCGGGCUAUAUGGUAUCAGGUAGUUGGUGGGGUAAGAGCCCACCAAGCCGAUGACGCCUAGCUGGUCUGAGAGGAUGAUCAGCCACACUGGAACUGAGACACGGUCCAGACUCCUACGGGAGGCAGCAGUGGGGAAUAUUGCACAAUGGAGGAAACUCUGAUGCAGCAACGCCGCGUGGAGGAUGACGCAUUUCGGUGUGUAAACUCCUUUUAUAUGGGAAGAUAAUGACGGUACCAUAUGAAUAAGCACCGGCUAACUCCGUGCCAGCAGCCGCGGUAAUACGGAGGGCGCAAGCGUUAUUCGGAAUCACUGGGCGUAAAGGACGCGUAGGCGGACUAGAAAGUCAGGUGUGAAAGCCUACAGCUUAACUGUAGAACUGCACUUGAAACUCCUAGUCUAGAGUAUGGGAGGGGCAGAUGGAAUUAGUGGUGUAGGGGUAAAAUCCGUAGAUAUCACUAGGAAUACCGAAAGCGAAGGCGAUCUGCUGGAACAUUACUGACGCUAA